RNAcentral lists this ribosomal RNA (373 nucleotides) under bacterium enrichment culture DGGE gel band B4. RNAcentral describes it as "bacterial SSU rRNA". It matches the Rfam family "Bacterial small subunit ribosomal RNA", at positions 938 to 1336 of the family's 1533-position model. The record is from RNAcentral.
CAUGGGUUUAAUUGAAGCAACGAGAAGACCUUCCCAGGUCGACCUUCUCUACUUAGAGAUGAAGUCCUYSGGGGACAGAGUGACAGGUGGUGCAUGGUUGUCGUCAGCUCGUGUCGUGAGAUGUUGGGUUAAGUCCCGCAACGAGCGCAACCCUUGAUCUUAGUUGCCAGCAUUYAGUUGGGCACUCUAAGGUGACUGCCGGUGACAAACCGGAGGAAGGUGGGGAUGACGUCAAAUCAUCAUGCCCCUUAUGACCUGGGCUACACACGUGCUACAAUGGAUGRUACAAAGGGCUGCAAMCYGCGAGUAAGCAAUCCCAUAAACAUUCUCAGUUCGGAUGAGGCUGCAACUCGCUCAUGAAGCCGGAAUCGCU